GUGGGGAAUUUUGGACAAUGGGCGCAAGCCUGAUCCAGCAAUGCCGCGUGCAGGAAGAAGGCCUUCGGGUUGUAAACUGCUUUUGUACGGAACGAAACGGUCCUGGUUAAUACCUGGGGCUAAUGACGGUACCGUAAGAAUAAGCACCGGCUAACUACGUGCCAGCAGCCGCGGUAAUAUGUAGGGUGCGAGCGUUAAUCGGAAUUACUGGGCGUAACGCGUGCGCAGGCGGUGCUGUAAGACAGGCGUGAAAGCCCCGGGCUCAACCUGGGAAUUGCGCUUGUGACUGCAUUGGUGGAUUACGGCAGAGGGGGAUGGAAUUCCGCGUGUAGCAGUGAAAUGCGUAGAUAUGCGGAGGAACACCGAUGGCGAAGGCAGUCCCCUGGGCCUGUACUGACGCUCAUGCACGAAAGCGUGGGGAGCAAACAGGAUUAGAAACCCUGGUAGUCC
RNAcentral lists this ribosomal RNA (450 nucleotides) under uncultured bacterium. Its description in RNAcentral is "partial 16S ribosomal RNA". It matches the Rfam family "Bacterial small subunit ribosomal RNA", at positions 354 to 796 of the family's 1533-position model. The record is from RNAcentral.